AGAGAUGGUUGGCAUCUCCCCUGACAGGGACGGGAACAGCUUUCGGGCUUUCCUGUUAACACAUCCGGUUAAGGCUUCCCACCUAUUUGGUGGAUCUAUAACCCAAUUUUUUUCCCCUUUUCCUACAAAACUACCUAUAAUUUGGCUUUAGGGCUUUAAUCUCAUUUACGAUGCUUUAGGGCUCAUUUACCAUUCAGCUCAAUGCAACGGGAUGCACAUAUAGGUCGAGAUCGGUAUAUAAGCUUAAGCCUGGAAGAAUUGGUUGCAUGAGCAGGCCCAAGGUUUUGACAGUAGUUUCCAUCAUCAUCUUUUCAUGUUUCCUACGGUUUCCUCUGCGAUCUUUUGCGUUUUCAUAUCAUUAUCUGAUCUGUGAUAGGUAUGGAUGAAUUUACUCUCUUGUUGAUUUGCAGAAAAGUAAUAUAUAUAAUUUGUCCAGGGCUCCAAGGUUUGGUCUUUUUUUUCCUUUUUCAAAGUCCUAACUUGGGAAGUGUCUCGGCUGCAAACUUGAAACUGAAACUUUCCCAAAUAGUACAGGAUACGCCUACGAGAAUAGACUCACCUCACCUGACCCUCUCUUCAUGUAGACGGGUUUCAAUUCAAAGAUAACAUUAUUGUAAGGAGGAAAAGAAACGCAAUUUCUGGAUUAUUUCCCAAAUUGAAUUUUGCAGUUUUGGAUGGAUUGAAGUGUGCCAAUUCACGUGAAUGAAUGGGUGAAGCAUGAAGGUUUCAGUGGCUACCGUUAGCAAUUUAGCAUCACUGACCAUGCUCAGAUUAUUUCCUCCAAAUAUUUAGUGUUAUCAUGAUCUACUGUUUACAGAACCAUCUUGGUGAAAUCCUUGAGCUUAAUUCCAAGCUUACUGAAGCUCCUGGCAUGUCUGUAGAUCGGGUGUUACAAUGAUAUAUUCGUUAUAUGUCUGGUCCUCCAUCACUGUUGAUAGAGAUUUACUUGCGGGAAGCGGGUUUUUGACACUUAACCACUAUAGGCCGGGGGUGCAAGUUGGACCCGAAACUCAUCAGUGCGUUGAUAGAGAGGUAGAGACCCGAGAUGCACACAUUUCAUCUUCCAUACGGAGUGUACCAUCACUUUGGAGGAUGUGCAGAUACAAUUGGGAUUGCCGGUGGAUGUGUCCGCACUCACCGGGUUCAUAAAGUUUCAAUGGACACUAUACGAGGAUCCAAAAAUUCGAGCAGUAAUUCUGGAUAAGUCCUAUUGGUCAACUAUGCUUUCGUGGAUAUGCACCAGACGUAUAGAGUGUUGCGACAAUUUGGAUUUCGACAACCGAUUCUCGUGGCACCUGAGGUACUCGAUGAUUAGCACAAAAUCAACUUACGGCAAUCGAAUACGAAUUGGUCGGUAUUCUGGUCGGAAUAUAUUCAAAUAUGGGAAAAUUGGUAUGAUCAUAUACCUACUCGGAACUGAUUAUCGUUCCAGAGUUAGUGUGCGUGCCGGAUUACAUGCCAUGGUUUAGGAUCCAUGGCAAGUCAUAUUUACUGUCAGAAGAACAGAGGCGUUGGUAAAUUCAUGUCGAAAGGGAACGACGCAGCCCUUUAAAUCUAAGGAGAAGGGAUGACGGCACGGGCCCAUCAAUAGCGCCCACACAAUCACCGGACCCAAUGCCUCAACCGACGACAUCCACAUCACAGCCUCUUCAGAUUAUGCCAGGUGCAUAUCCUAGCCCUUAUAUGUAUCCUAACCCUUAUAUAUUUCAUUUUCCCGAUCCUAUGCCAGGUUGGAAUGCAUGACUCGGUGCAUCUCCUUUCCCGAUGAAUCUAACUCAACCGACGGUAUAUAAUUCACCGUCACAGGAGGGAUCGCACGAGGUGCCGUCCGAGAGCUCUUUUCAUUACCAACCCCAUUGCCUUAUGGGAUUCAAACACCUCCGUCGUGGGUAAUGCAAACACCUCCGUAUUCUUUAUUCUAUCAAGGUGGGUCAUCCUCUCAACACCCACAACCACAACCCCCGUCGGAGCAACCACAACCCCCACCGGAAGCUGAACCAAGGAGGAAUCCAGCACGUAACCAUUGACAAUCCCCAUGUGGCAUUGAUUUCGACUGGUACCAACAUUAAUUUUUUUAAUAUAUUUGUACAAACUAUUUUUAUAUAGUUUUAUUUAAUAAAAUAAAAGUUGUUUUUAAUA
Gossypium raimondii (Peruvian cotton) is the source of this 2139-nucleotide long non-coding RNA. RefSeq lists it as uncharacterized. Lineage: Eukaryota; Viridiplantae; Streptophyta; Magnoliopsida; Malvales; Malvaceae. The record is from RefSeq and is a predicted model, not a curated record. The transcript has 3 exons.